This is a non-coding RNA of Arachis ipaensis, 355 nucleotides long. The record is from RefSeq and is a predicted model, not a curated record. NCBI's taxonomy places the organism in Eukaryota, Viridiplantae, Streptophyta, Magnoliopsida, Fabales, Fabaceae.
UUGUGCCAAGGAUUGUUUAUCGCGAGUUGCUCUGUUGUACGCCGCUGUCGGAGCUACGAUUCUACUACUGCCGCCUUUGCUGUGAGCCGUUAAUUGUAGCGAGUAUUGUUGUCAUGGCGGCUGGUUUAGUCGCUCCUCUUUAGUACGGAUCGAGGUCCGAUUGCUGCACGUUGGCGAAUUUAAGUUACUGCUGUGGGUACGGACACCAUGGAGCUGUGAUUGCGAUUGUUACCAAUGUCGGGCCGAGAGGAAAAGAGUUUCGAUGACGUGUUUGGUCUAUAGUUUCGACUUAUUGAGCUUUACCUUUUCAGGAACCAGAUGAAUAAGCAUUAAGAAGAGUUAUACUACGUUUGGU